GACAGAGGGCUCAAACGUUGUUCGGAAUCACUGGGCAUAAAGCGCACGUAGGCGGCUUGCUAAGUCGGUUGUGAAAUCCCCCGGCUCAACCGGGGAACUGCGUGUGAUACUGGCGGGCUUGAAUUCGGGAGAGGGAUGUGGAAUUCCAGGUGUAGCGGUGAAAUGCGUAGAUAUCUGGAGGAACACCGGUGGCGAAGGCGGCAUCCUGGACCGAGAUUGACGCUGAGGCGCGAAAGCUAGGGUAGCAAACGGG
Molecule: ribosomal RNA, 253 nt
Filed under: uncultured bacterium
Lineage: Bacteria
Description: partial 16S ribosomal RNA
Rfam family: Bacterial small subunit ribosomal RNA
Source: RNAcentral